CAUACAAUGCUGGCUGUCAUGAUGCCUAAAAAGCAUCGUAAAGCAAGGGCCGGGCAAGACCGGUGCCAGCCGCCGCGGUAACACCGGCGGCUCGAGUGGUAACCGCUAUUAUUGGGUCUAAAGGGUCUGUAGCCGGCUUGAUAAGUCUCUUGGGAAAUCCGGCAGCUCAACUGUCGGGCUGCCAGGGGAUACUGUCUGGCUUGGGACCGGGAGAGGUGAGAGGUACUUCAGGGGUAGGGGUGAAAUCUUGUAAUCCUUGAAGGACCACCAGUGGCGAAGGCGUCUCACCAGAACGGGUCCGACGGCAAGGGACGAAAGCUAGGGGCACGAACCGGAUUAGAUACCCGGGUAGUCCUAGCUGUAAACGAUACUCGCUAGGUGUCGGCCACGGUGCGACCGUGGUCGGUGCCGUAGGGAAGCCGUGAAGCGAGCCACCUGGGAAGUACGGCCGCAAGGCUGAAACUUAAAGGAAUUGGCGGGGGAGCACUACAACGGGUGGAGCCUGCGGUUUAAUUGGAUUCAACGCCGGGA
RNAcentral lists this ribosomal RNA (531 nucleotides) under uncultured archaeon. Its description in RNAcentral is "bacterial SSU rRNA". It matches the Rfam family "Archaeal small subunit ribosomal RNA", at positions 392 to 923 of the family's 1478-position model. The record is from RNAcentral.